RNAcentral lists this ribosomal RNA (482 nucleotides) under uncultured bacterium. Its description in RNAcentral is "partial 16S ribosomal RNA". It matches the Rfam family "Bacterial small subunit ribosomal RNA", at positions 30 to 507 of the family's 1533-position model. The record is from RNAcentral.
AUUGAACGCUGGCGGCAUGCUUUACACAUGCAAGUCGAACGGUGACAGGCCGCAAGGUGCUGACGAGUGGCGAACGGGUGAGUAAUGCAUCGGAACGUGCCCAGUCGUGGGGGAUAACUACUCGAAAGAGUAGCUAAUACCGCAUACGAUCUAUGGAUGAAAGCGGGGGACCGUAAGGCCUCGCGCGAUUGGAGCGGCCGAUGUCAGAUUAGGUAGUUGGUGGGAUAAAGGCUCACCAAGCCAACGAUCUGUAGCUGGUCUGAGAGGACGACCAGCCACACUGGGACUGAGACACGGCCCAGACUCCUACGGGAGGCAGCAGUGGGGAAUUUUGGACAAUGGGCGCAAGCCUGAUCCAGCAAUGCCGCGUGCAGGAAGAAGGCCUUCGGGUUGUAAACUGCUUUUGUACGGAACGAAACGGCUCUGGUUAAUACCCGGGGCUAAUGACGGUACCGUAAGAAUAAGCACCGGCUAACUACGUG